RNAcentral lists this ribosomal RNA (347 nucleotides) under uncultured bacterium. RNAcentral's name for it is "partial 16S ribosomal RNA". It matches the Rfam family "Bacterial small subunit ribosomal RNA", at positions 338 to 682 of the family's 1533-position model. The record is from RNAcentral.
CCUACGGGAGGCAGCAGUGAGGAAUAUUGGUCAAUGGACGAGAGUCUGAACCAGCCAAGUAGCGUGAAGGAUGACUGCCCUAUGGGUUGUAAACUUCGGUUAUAGGGGAAUAAAAUGUGCCACGUGUGGGAUUUUGUAUGUACCAUAUGAAUAAGGAUCGGCUAACUCCGUGCCAGCAGCCGCGGUAAGACGGAGGAUCCGAGCGUUAUCCGGAUUUAUUGGGUUUAAAGGGAGCGUAGGUGGCUUGUUAAGUCAGUUGUGCAAGUUUGCGGCUCAACCGUAAAAUUGCCGUUGAAACGGGCAGUCUUGAGUACCGUAGAGGUGGGCGGAAUUCGUGUUGUAGCGGU